This 440-nucleotide ribosomal RNA is filed under the name uncultured Allostella sp. Its description in RNAcentral is "bacterial SSU rRNA". It matches the Rfam family "Bacterial small subunit ribosomal RNA", at positions 8 to 494 of the family's 1533-position model. Lineage: Bacteria; Pseudomonadati; Pseudomonadota; Alphaproteobacteria; Rhodospirillales; Allostellaceae. The record is from RNAcentral.
AGAGUUUGAUCAUGGCUCAGAACGAACGCUGGCGGCAUGCCUAACACAUGCAAGUCGAACGCUCGUAGCAAUACGGGAGUGGCGGACGGGUGAGUAACGCGUGGGAACCUGCCCUGCAGUGGGGAAUAACGGCUGGAAACGGCCGCUAAUACCGCAUACGCCCGUAAGGGGAAAGAUUUAUCGCUGUUGGAGGGGCCCGCGUCGGAUUAGGUAGUUGGUGGGGUAAUGGCCUACCAAGCCUUCGAUCCGUAGCUGGUCUGAGAGGACGACCAGCCACACUGGGACUGAGACACGGCCCAGACUCCUACGGGAGGCAGCAGUGGGGAAUAUUGGACAAUGGGGGCAACCCUGAUCCAGCAAUGCCGCGUGAGUGAUGAAGGCCCUAGGGUUGUAAAGCUCUUUCAGUCGCGACGAUGAUGACGGUAGCGACAGUGAGCCCC